Small nuclear RNA from Ursus americanus (American black bear), 107 nucleotides. The record is from Ensembl. NCBI's taxonomy places the organism in Eukaryota, Metazoa, Chordata, Mammalia, Carnivora, Ursidae.
GUGCCCUCUGCAGCAGCACAGACACUAAAAUAGGAACCACAUGGGGAGGACCAGCAUGGCCUCCGUGCAAGGAGCACGUGCAAAUCCGUGACGCGGUCCACACUUCG